RNAcentral lists this ribosomal RNA (253 nucleotides) under uncultured bacterium. RNAcentral describes it as "partial 16S ribosomal RNA". It matches the Rfam family "Bacterial small subunit ribosomal RNA", at positions 524 to 776 of the family's 1533-position model. The record is from RNAcentral.
GACAGAGGUGCCGAGCGUUAGGCGGAAUCACUGGGCUUAAAGCGUGUGUAGGCGGAUGGGUAAGUACCUUGUGAAAUCCCACGGCUCAACCGUGGAACUGCUCGGUAUACUGCUCGUCUUGAGCCAACUAGGGGCGACCGGAACAAACGGUGGAGCGGUGAAAUGCGUAGAUAUCGUUUGGAACGCCGAUGGUGAAAACAGGUCGCUGGGGUUGUGCUGACACUGAGACACGAAAGCCAGGGGAGCAAACGGG